GCACAAGCGGUGGAGUAUGUGGUUUAAUUCGAUGCAACGCGAAGAACCUUACCUGGUCUUGACAUCCCGGAGACCCUUAGGAAACUAGGGGGUGCUUCCAUCUGGAAGAAUCUGGAGACAGGUGCUGCAUGGCUGUCGUCAGCUCGUGUCGUGAGAUGUUGGGCUAAGUCCCGCAACGAGCGCAACCCUUGCCUUUAGUUGCCAGCAGUUCGGCUGGGCACUCUAAAGGGACUGCCGGUGUUAAACCGGAGGAAGGUGGGGAUGACGUCAAGUCCUCAUGGCCUUUAUGACCAGGGCUACACACGUACUACAAUGGCCGAUACAAAGGGCAGCGACACUGCGAGGUGAAGCCAAUCCCGUAAAAUCGGUCUCAGUCCGGAUUGGAGUCUGCAACUCGACUCCAUGAAGUUGGAAUCGCUAGUAAUCGUGGAUCAGCAUGCCACGGUGAAUACGUUCCCGGGCCUU
RNAcentral lists this ribosomal RNA (465 nucleotides) under uncultured Desulfobulbus sp. RNAcentral's name for it is "bacterial SSU rRNA". It matches the Rfam family "Bacterial small subunit ribosomal RNA", at positions 923 to 1382 of the family's 1533-position model. The record is from RNAcentral. Lineage: Bacteria; Pseudomonadati; Thermodesulfobacteriota; Desulfobulbia; Desulfobulbales; Desulfobulbaceae.